Molecule: ribosomal RNA, 474 nt
Filed under: uncultured bacterium
Lineage: Bacteria
Description: bacterial SSU rRNA
Rfam family: Bacterial small subunit ribosomal RNA
Source: RNAcentral
GGACGAACGCUGGCGGCGUGCCUAACACAUGCAAGUCGAGCGAGGAGAUUCCUCGGGAUGAUCCUAGCGGCGGACGGGUGAGUAACGACGUGGGCAACCUGCCUCAUAGAGAGGAAUAGCCUUCCGAAAGGGAGAUUAAUACCUCAUAACAUUGCAGUUUCGCAUGGAACAGCAAUUAAAGGAGCAAUCCGCUAUGAGAUGGGCCCGCGGCGCAUUAGCUAGUUGGUGAGGUAACGGCUCACCAAGGCGACGAUGCGUAGCCGACCUGAGAGGGUGAUCGGCCACAUUGGGACUGAGACACGGCCCAGACUCCUACGGGAGGCAGCAGUGGGGAAUAUUGCACAAUGGGGGAAACCCUGAUGCAGCAACGCCGCGUGAGUGAUGACGGCCUUCGGGUUGUAAAGCUCUGUCUUCAGGGACGAUAAUGACGGUACCUGAGGAGGAAGCCACGGCUAACUACGUGCCAGCCGCGGC